This 63-nucleotide transfer RNA is filed under the name Melasis buprestoides. RNAcentral describes it as "tRNA-Thr". Lineage: Eukaryota; Metazoa; Arthropoda; Insecta; Coleoptera; Eucnemidae. The record is from RNAcentral.
GUUUUAAUAAUUUAAAUAAAAUAUUAGUUUUGUAAACUAAAAAUAAGAAAAUCUUUUAAAACU